GUGAAGACUUUUAAAAUAGAGACCAACGUGGCCGGGCAGGAAGAGCAGGGUCCCGCCUUCAGGUGUUUGGGACUCUGCUGAGGGUGUGGGUGCCCCGCGGUGGGGGCUGAACCUUCCUGGGGUGUGGAGAGACGAAAGGAGCCCAGAUCCAAGUUCCCUCGUUCCCGCUUUGGCAUAAGUUGCCCUGGCGGUCUCAUGAGAGAGAGAAAGAGCUGGGACCCUCCUCGCCCCAGUGAGUGUGAUGUCUUGCUCCGGGUGUCCUGGGGCAACUUUCUAUAAAGGCGGGACGUGGGAGGAUCAGACAGUGUAACAUCAGACAAGGGUGUUGACUCUGCAGCACAGAACCAGUAGUUUGUGGAGAAGAAUGGAGGUGUGGUGUUGAAUCUGCUAGACAGGCUACUGAAGCAAAAGUCAAGAGAUCCAGAUUCCAUCAUGGGGACACUUUAGGGUAGGACCAAGGUGCUCUGGUCUGGUCAACAGCCCCAUGUGAACUCUCAGCAGGUGCCAGCACCAGUCAUCAUCCAUGCAAGUGAUCUCUUUUGGAUGAACCAAACGAGUGAAGCCUCCAGAUGAUUAAGGAAUUUUCAUGAUAUAUGAUUUUACCCCACUCUUGGAAUGUGGAACCUACUUCUAAUUCCCCUCCAUGAAAUGAGGCUUCACUGCAGUUACACAGGUUAAAAAGUUGAGAGGCUGCUGCUACGAAUGGCUCCAUGAGCCACAUGAAAAACCAUAUUCUUACAAGGUUGCUAGGGAUAACCUUGCAAGGAAGCUACUUUCCUUCAGCACACAUAGACAGGACUCUACCAGAUAGCAAUGUACACUGCAGUGUUUGACUUUCUUGACUGUCCCCACACAGCACCACUUAGUGGAUAAGUCUGUCCAACUCUGGGGUUCAUUAAGAAGAAAUGUCUUCUCAGCAGAUCUGAGGUUAUUCAGUCACAUGAUUAUGGACAGUCUCUUAGUUUUCUGCCAUGGAUAGCUAAUUGCUUCACGCUGUUGUAAAAAGGAUUGAGUUCUUGAUUGAUUCCCAGCUUGGUCAUUGGUGUAUAGCAGUGCUACUGAUUUGUUUACAUUGAUUUUGUAACCUGAGACUUUACUGAAUUCGUGUAUCAGAUCUAGGAGCCUUUUGGUUCUUCAUCGGGUAAUUGAGCUGAUAUCAGGUGUCUGAAGGAGGCAAGUUUUGAAGAUGUGGGUCAUGAUGGCUGCUGAAGCUUCCACUCCAUAUUUGAAGGUCAGCAGUUCUCAGGAAACCUCUAGCACUUCCAUUCCUGGUGGGAUGUGAUGCCUGUCUCAGUGUAACAUCAGAGAAGGGGUGUACUCUGUGCCCUAGAACUAGGAGCUAACAGAGAAAAACCAAAUGUGAUGUGGAGUCUGCUAGACAGGCUACUGGAGCAAGAGUGAAGUGAUGAAAGUCUCAUCAUUGGGUCAUAUUAGAAAAAAUGAUGGAUACAGAAGGAUAGCUGGAUGUAAGUGAAAAGUUCCAGAAAACCAUGUCUGAUCCCAUUAAUCAAGCUCCCAACUUUCAUCCCUCCCUGCCCGCUGCUGAGUCCCCUGGUCUACACUCAGAGUUGCAAUCCUGACUCUGGCCACCAAGAGGCAUUACAGCUAUCUCCACGUUCCUUGCUCUUUCUUAAUGAAAAGGGGUAAAUUUCGCAGAAAUUCCAUACUAUGGAUAUGACAUCAGUUUUCUCAAACCUGUGUUAUUCAGAGUGUUCUGAUAUUCCCUGUUAUCUACACUGUGUGGAAGACAUCUUUUCAGAGUCUGUGCAUGGCUGAAGGGCACAGUUCCUGUAGCUGUUUACACUGGCCCAGAAAUAAAGGAAGGGAAUUUUCAGAAUGACAGUACUUAUAACCAGAUGCUUAUCAGCAUCCUUCACAAUGUCCUGAAGAUAAACUUCUAAAAGAUUCCUCAGGUGGAGUCACAGGAGAAAAUCCCAAGAGGAGUAAAAAAUAAUAAUGCUGAUGUCAUGUUAGAGUGGAGGCCCUGGACGCUGUUGUGGACCCACUCUCCAGUUUCUUCCACAGUUAGAAGAUGUGGAAGUGAUCAGUAAACAAAAGUUGUGCAACCAUCACCGUAGUUGAGUUUUGGAGGUUUCCAUCACUAUAAAAUGUCCCAUCAUACUUGAACGCAGUUGAUCCCUGCUUUCACCCCCAGCUCCAGGAAUCACAGCGCAGAGCUUUUAUGCAGAUGACUGAACCCGUGGAGUUAGGUGGCUGAGAGGAUGCAGCUUCCCAGGUCUCUACAACUGAUGGCAGCAAGAUGGGAGCACCCAGCUACAGUGUUCAGAAGUAGAUUUAGGCAGACUACCACACCUUACAUGCUAGAGGGAUCCACACUGACCUGAGUAGUGUGACAUGCAUAAAGGAAUUUCUUAUUGAGCCCCAGGAAGAAGAAACACUACAUAAGAGCAAAUAAUAAAAUCGGUCAGAUAGACAGAAGAUGGGAGUCAUCAAACCUGUAUCCCUCUUGCCAGACCUAUCAACUGACCAUAGGACAUUCAGGAGGCAGCAGGUGGCUGAAAUCCUGGUGUGAUGUGGCUGGAUCAUGCAUGAUCUGAGGACUCCUGCACAGGUGACUGCAGGAUGAGUACAGAAUUUUUCUAUAAAUAUACUAAAAUACCAAGUAAGCCAGGAGCAGCCACUAGGCAAACACCAAACCUUGCAUUCCUGGCCAGACCUAUCACAGAGCUCAUCAGCACUGAGCUCCUCACACAGGUGACUGAACCCGUGGUUUUGGUGUCUGAGAAGAUGCAGCUUCUCCAGUCUCUGCAACUGACGGCAGGAAGAUGGGAGCACUCAGCUUCAGUGUUCAGAAGCAGAUUUAGGCCAACUGCCAUACCUUACAUUCUGGAGGAAUCCACCCUGACCUGAGCAGAAGGCAUCACACACAUUCCCAAGCAGCAUGGUUCCCGUGAGAAACUGAAAACUAAUUUCUUGAAUCUACAAUGCGACUUCCAUCUUCCAGGUGUAACCAGAGUUUUUCCUGGAGCGAUUCCAGCUUGUUUCCUUUUGGUGCCUUCCUUAAGAAAUUUUGCAGCUGUUUCUGGUGCAGUUUUUGGGUGGGCUCUGGGGUGGGCAGACGAUCUCCACUUUGCAGAGGCUGCUCUUGUGAGUGGAGCUGGUGGUGAGGGAGUAGGAGAGGCCUCGCAUCAUCCUGGCAUUCAGGCCCUUAGCCAUGGAGAAGGACUUGAGGUGGCUUCUUAAGGUACUGGGGAGCGGGAGCUUGUCCACCAGAUGCACAGGUGUGCAGGACACGAUGGUGCGGCAGCAGAGGUCUUGCAAGCUCAGUACCUUGCUCGGCCUCCCGAGCCAAUUCAUCCUGUGCCGCAGCAGCACUAUCCUGGCCAGCUCCGUGAAAGACUCUAUGAUGUUGAAAUUGCACAGAGGGCUGACCUCAAAGAAGGUCACACCCAGGCGCUCAGCGUAGGCCUGGGCCUGCUCCCUGGGCACCUGCCUCUUGAAUGCCAGAUGUAGGCGAUUCCCCACCAGGAUUUUAGGGACACCAGGGGCAUGCUCAUCGAUCUUCUUAAUCCAUCGAUCCAUACCCUCAAAAGACCAGCGGUUUGCAAUGUCGUAGACCAGGAUCACUCCUUGUGCACCACGAGAGUAGGAGCGGAAUAUGGUACAAAAUCUUCCCUGCCCCGACGUAUCCCAGAGCUUCAGCUUCACCCGCUGGCCGUCCAGCAGGAUGGUGGUCGUCUUGUAGUCGAUCCCCCCGAGAUGGCUGUAUGGGGACUCAGCUGCACCAUCCUGCAGGCUCUCCAGGAUCUCACUCUUGCCUACGUCGCUGUCGCCCACCAGCAGGAACUUCAGCAGGAAGUCAUAGGCCUGGUCGGGGCUGCCUGGGGCGCUCAUGGCGCUGGCCUCGCACUCCCGCCUGAGCCAGGCCCGCAGGGUUGUGCGCAGAGGUGGUGCCGGGCCUGUUUUUCUUGAGAAAUUAGCAUAGAACAUAAAAAAUGAGAUGGGGAAGUCUGUGAAAUAAAGCGAAAUGAGGUGG
Molecule: long non-coding RNA, 3997 nt
Organism: Pan troglodytes (chimpanzee)
Lineage: Eukaryota; Metazoa; Chordata; Mammalia; Primates; Hominidae
Exons: 19
Source: RefSeq, a predicted model, not a curated record